CACAAAAUGAUGACACUUAUAAUCCGGUUUUGUGGUGGAAUAUUUAUGGAAACCUUGUACCAAGAUUGCAAAGUAUGGCUAAAAGGAUACUUUCAUUGACCACAAGCUCAUCCGGAUGUGAGAGAAAUUGGAGCGCUUUUGAGGGGAUCCAUACAAAGAAAAGGAAUAGACUAG
Rosa chinensis is the source of this 174-nucleotide long non-coding RNA. RefSeq lists it as uncharacterized. The transcript has 3 exons. The record is from RefSeq and is a predicted model, not a curated record. Lineage: Eukaryota; Viridiplantae; Streptophyta; Magnoliopsida; Rosales; Rosaceae.